Molecule: transfer-messenger RNA, 363 nt
Filed under: Magnetococcales
Lineage: Bacteria; Pseudomonadati; Pseudomonadota; Magnetococcia
Also listed under: 1 other name
Description: JADFXB01 sp015233935 Standard tmRNA
Rfam family: transfer-messenger RNA
About the family: Bacterial tmRNA, also known as 10Sa RNA or SsrA, is named for its dual tRNA and mRNA-like properties. Its role is to liberate the mRNA from a stalled ribosome. To accomplish this part of the tmRNA is used as a reading frame that ends in a translation stop signal.
Source: RNAcentral
GGGGGUGUCACGGUUUCGACGGGGUAUGAAAAGGUUCAGAAGGCGACUCGGCAUGGUACCGCCGUAAUGGGCUAAAAAACACAAACGCCAACGACGAGUUCUACGGCGAACUUCGCGCCGCAGCGUAAGCUGCGGAUCGAAGUGGGGCCUUGAUCCAGGCCUGACAACAGGAGCCGCAAGGCAGGAUCGAGCCGGAAAUGUGAAGGCCGGUUGAAAUCCAGGGUCACCCAGUUUUCCGAGGUAACGGGGCUUCUGAGGCACGUCGGCUGUAACGCCAAGGGAGUAUAUGCCGACAGAUGGUCGUAAUCCCUUCGGACUGACUACAUAUUUCGGACGCGGGUUCAAUUCCCGCCACCUCCACCA